Molecule: long non-coding RNA, 307 nt
Organism: Mytilus californianus (California mussel)
Lineage: Eukaryota; Metazoa; Mollusca; Bivalvia; Mytilida; Mytilidae
Exons: 4
Source: RefSeq, a predicted model, not a curated record
GGAAUAUGCAGAUAAUGUAAUGGAGAAUACUUGAAAGCAUAUACAUCAUGUACAGAAAAAAAGGAUAUCAAUGGCAAUGGCAUGGAUAUAGAGAUUGAUGAUCCAAAUGAAGACAAACCUAAUGUUAAUAAAUUUUCAAAAUUAGUGGCUACAACAGAUGAUGAAGAUGAGCAUUGUAACUAUACACUUCGCACGAGAAAAACAAAUUCAUCUACCUUUGAUAAGAAUUUAUACACAUAUUCACAAGACAGCGAGGGGCAAGUUAGUACAGUGUGCAGCAGUCAAGAUUCAAGUUGGAGCCAAGGGG